This is a long non-coding RNA of Microtus oregoni (creeping vole), 276 nucleotides long. RefSeq lists it as uncharacterized. The transcript has 4 exons. The record is from RefSeq and is a predicted model, not a curated record. NCBI's taxonomy places the organism in Eukaryota, Metazoa, Chordata, Mammalia, Rodentia, Cricetidae.
GGAGGAGGAGGAGGAAAGGACCACCCGGCACAUCCUCGUGGUGGCUGCCUCCACUCCUCCAGCCCUUGGCCCAGGGCUGAUGUCAUCCGCAGCAAAUCAUUUCGCCGGCGGCCCGGAAGCUGGAGGGACGAGGUUCCUAAGUUUCUGGCCGUGGUCUGUUAACUUCCAUUUCUUUGGGCCUGAGGAGCCAUUAAAGACACAGACAUGAUGUGGAAGACAGUCCAGCCAAGCGGCCCAGACGCAGACUUACAACUUGCAGGGUGCGAUGGGACAGGU